Molecule: ribosomal RNA, 352 nt
Filed under: uncultured bacterium
Lineage: Bacteria
Description: partial 16S ribosomal RNA
Rfam family: Bacterial small subunit ribosomal RNA
Source: RNAcentral
CCUACGGGAGGCAGCAGUAGGGAAUGUUCGGCAAUGGGGGGAACCCUGACCGAGCAACACCGCGUGAACGAAGAAGGUAUUCGAAAUGUAAAGUUCUUGUAACAGGGAAGAAAGAGAAAGUGGACGGUACCUGAAGAAUAAGCUCCGGCGAACUACGUGCCAGCAGCCGCGGGAAUACGGAGGGAGCGAGCGUGAUCCGGAAGGAUUGGGCGGAAAGGGGGCGUAGAUGGCAUAGUAAGUCUUUUGUAAAAAUGCUGGGCUCAACCCAGUAGGGCAAAAGAUACUGCAAAGCUAGAGUAUGCCAGAGGCAAGUGGUACUACAUGUGUAGCGGUCCCAUGCUUACAUAUAUGU